RNAcentral lists this long non-coding RNA (569 nucleotides) under Malus domestica (apple). Its description in RNAcentral is "long non-coding RNA (MDOM_LNC005151)". The record is from RNAcentral. Lineage: Eukaryota; Viridiplantae; Streptophyta; Magnoliopsida; Rosales; Rosaceae.
UUGUGGUUACUUAUUGUGCUAUGAAGCUUCUGUUUUUUCCUUUUAUGCCCAAGAUUGAAUUUGUUCUCUCCGCUGUUGAAAAGUAGAACUCUCUCUAUCUCAAAAAAAUAUGAUCAAGUGUGAAGUUUGGUUGUCUCUCUCUCCAUAAACUUAUAUUCCAUAUUGCACCCAUCAACUCUAAUCAUUCCUUGAUCUAGUGUAGUUUUUACCAUAUGUUUAACCUUAGACUUCUUUUCAUGCCUGUCCUCCCUCUAAAUCAAUUGAGGAUUCAAAUUCAGCAGGUCCAUCUCAAGAUAUAGCUAAAACAAUUCCAACUCCUAAAAAGGUGUAAUUUGUUAAUCCCCUAUCCUUGGAGUUAAUUUUUAGUGAUGUGUUUUUAAUAGAAUUGCAUAUUUGAGUAGUGAGUUUUUCAAGGGAACUUUAACAAAAAACUUCUGGUACUGUUCACUUUAACGAAUAACCACAUUUUACACUAAAAAGUUAAUCCUGGUACUAUUCACUUUACCCUUUAUUUUGUCCUUAUCAUUAAAACUCACAGUUUUCAAGUCCCUUUCUUUAGUUUUCCUUUU